RNAcentral lists this ribosomal RNA (292 nucleotides) under uncultured bacterium. RNAcentral's name for it is "partial 16S ribosomal RNA". It matches the Rfam family "Bacterial small subunit ribosomal RNA", at positions 505 to 796 of the family's 1533-position model. The record is from RNAcentral.
GUGUCAGCAGCCGCGGUAAUACGUAGGGUGCGAGCGUUAAUCGGAAUUACUGGGCGUAAAGCGUGCGCAGGCGGUUCGUUAAGUUCGUUGUGAAAGCCCCGGGCUCAACCUGGGAGGUGCAAUGGAAACUGGCGGGCUCGAGUCUGGCAGAGGGGGGUGGAAUUCCACGUGUAGCAGUGAAAUGCGUAGAGAUGUGGAGGAACACCGAUGGCGAAGGCAACCCCCUGGGCUAAGACUGACGCUCAGGCACGAAAGCGUGGGGAGCAAACAGGAUUAGAUACCCCAGUAGUCC